Molecule: transfer-messenger RNA, 356 nt
Filed under: Acidobacteria bacterium SCN 69-37
Lineage: Bacteria; Pseudomonadati; Acidobacteriota
Also listed under: 1 other name
Rfam family: transfer-messenger RNA
About the family: Bacterial tmRNA, also known as 10Sa RNA or SsrA, is named for its dual tRNA and mRNA-like properties. Its role is to liberate the mRNA from a stalled ribosome.
Source: RNAcentral
GGGGGCGAAAGGCUUCGACGGGGGCAAGGGGCUGUGGAAUGCGUGCCGAGGUUGUUCAUCUCCCUCGUUAAACCGGUGGACACACAACGUAACUGCGGACUCGCAGCUUGCGCUCGCGGCCUAACUAGGCUCGCGACGUUCGUCCCUUCCAGCCUACGGGUUGGGAACGAACGCCAUUCAGUAGGCUGGUCCUGACACGCGCCCGGCGAGGUUUGGGACGAGACACACUCGGGCUGGCUGCCGGCGCAUUCGCCGUUCUUUGUUGCCGGCAGUGAGAUAUCAAGGACGGAUACGCACGUAGAGUUCUGCAGCGACAGGCCUUUCGGACGCGGGUUCGACUCCCGCCGCCUCCACCA